RNAcentral lists this ribosomal RNA (215 nucleotides) under Clostridioides difficile. RNAcentral describes it as "partial 23S ribosomal RNA". It matches the Rfam family "Bacterial large subunit ribosomal RNA", at positions 1132 to 1355 of the family's 2925-position model. Lineage: Bacteria; Bacillati; Bacillota; Clostridia; Peptostreptococcales; Peptostreptococcaceae. The record is from RNAcentral.
GCGUAAUAGCUCACUGGUCGAGUGAUCCUGCGCCGAAGAUUUCCGGGGCUAAAACUUACUACCGAAGCUACGGCAUCAGUAAUGAUGGGUAGGGGAGCUUCCCAUACAGGUUGAAGCAUGACCGUAAGGACAUGUGGACAGUAUGGGAGUGAGAAUGUUGGCAUGAGUAGCGAGAUGUGGGUGAGAAUCCCACAGGCCGUAAACCCAAGGUUUCC